GAUGAACGCUAGCUACAGGCUUAACACAUGCAAGUCGAGGGGAAACGAUAUUGGAAGCUUGCUUCCGAUAGGCGUCGACCGGCGCACGGGUGAGUAACGCGUAUCCAACCUGCCCACCACUUGGGGAUAACCUUGCGAAAGUAAGACUAAUACCCAAUGAUAUCUCUAGAAGACAUCUGAAGGAGAUUAAAGAUUUAUCGGUGAUGGAUGGGGAUGCGUCUGAUUAGCUUGUUGGCGGGGUAACGGCCCACCAAGGCGACGAUCAGUAGGGGUUCUGAGAGGAAGGUCACCCACAUUGGAACUGAGGCACGGUCCAAACUCCUACGGGAGGCAGCAGUGAGGAAUAUUGGUCAAUGGACGAGAGUCUGAACCAGCCAAGUAGCGUGCAGGAUGACGGCCCUAUAGGUUGUAAACUGCUUUUAUAAGGGAAUAAAGUGAGCCUCGUGAGGCUUUUUGCAUGUACCUUAUGAAUAAGGACCGGCUAAUUCCGUGCCAGCCGCCGCCGUAA
Molecule: ribosomal RNA, 508 nt
Filed under: uncultured bacterium
Lineage: Bacteria
Description: partial 16S ribosomal RNA
Rfam family: Bacterial small subunit ribosomal RNA
Source: RNAcentral